AUUGAACGCUGGCGGCAUGCUUUACACAUGCAAGUCGAACGGUAACAGGCCGCAAGGUGCUGACGAGUGGCGAACGGGUGAGUAAUGCAUCGGAACGUGCCCAGUCGUGGGGGAUAACUACUCGAAAGAGUAGCUAAUACCGCAUACGAUCUGUGGAUGAAAGCGGGGGACCGUAAGGCCUCGCGCGAGUGGAGCGGCCGCUGUCGGAUUAGGUAGUUGGUGGGGUAAAGGCUCACCAAGCCAACGAUCUGUAGCUGGUCUGAGAGGACGACCAGCCACACGGGGACUGAGACACGGCCCAGACUCCUACGGGAGGCAGCAGUGGGGAAUUUUGGACAAUGGGCGCAAGCCUGAUCCAGCAAUGCCGCGUGCAGGAAGAAGGCCUUCGGGUUGUAAACUGCUUUUGUACGGAACGAAACGGCUCUGGUUAAUACCCGGGGCUAAUGACGGUACCGUAAGAAUAAGCACCGGCUAACUACGUG
Molecule: ribosomal RNA, 482 nt
Filed under: uncultured bacterium
Lineage: Bacteria
Description: partial 16S ribosomal RNA
Rfam family: Bacterial small subunit ribosomal RNA
Source: RNAcentral